GAAAUGCGAUAAGUAGUGUGAAUUGCAGAAUUCAGUGAAUCAUCGAAUCUUUGAACGCACAUUGCGCCCUUUGGUAUUCCUUAGGGCAUGCCUGUUCGAGCGUCAUCUAAACCUUCAAGCCCUGCUUGGUGUUGGGUGCCUGUCCCGCCUCCGCGCGCGGACUCACCUCAAAUCCAUUGGCGGCCCCCGCGUCGGCCACGAGCGCAGCUGAAACGCGAACUCGUGAGCCCAUCCGGGCGGCUCCCAGAAGCUACACCCACCCAGUUUGACCUCGGAUCAGGUAGGGAUACCCGCUGAACUUAAGC
Molecule: unclassified non-coding RNA, 305 nt
Filed under: plant metagenome
Description: partial contains 5.8S ribosomal RNA, internal transcribed spacer 2, and large subunit ribosomal RNA
Rfam family: 5.8S ribosomal RNA (bases 1-105)
Source: RNAcentral